UGGCACAGUGGUAAAGCGCUUGGCUGCUAACUAAAAGGUCGGUGGUUCAAACCCACC
RNAcentral lists this transfer RNA (57 nucleotides) under Loxodonta africana (African savanna elephant). It matches the Rfam family "tRNA", at positions 8 to 63 of the family's 71-position model. Rfam says of the family: Transfer RNA (tRNA) molecules are approximately 80 nucleotides in length. Lineage: Eukaryota; Metazoa; Chordata; Mammalia; Proboscidea; Elephantidae. The record is from Rfam by way of RNAcentral.